RNAcentral lists this ribosomal RNA (427 nucleotides) under uncultured bacterium. RNAcentral describes it as "bacterial SSU rRNA". It matches the Rfam family "Bacterial small subunit ribosomal RNA", at positions 355 to 774 of the family's 1533-position model. The record is from RNAcentral.
UGGGGAAUUUUGGACAAUGGACGCAAGUCUGAUCCAGCCAUGCCGCGUGCGGGAAGAAGGCCUUCGGGUUGUAAGCCGCUUGUGUCAGGGAAGAAACGCUCUGGGCUAAUACCCUGGGGUAAUGACGGUACCUGAAGAAUAAGCACCGGCUAACUACGUGCCAGCAGCCGCGGUAAUACGUAGGGUGCAAGCGUUAAUCGGAAUUACUGGGCGUAAAGCGUGCGCAGGCGGUUAUGCAAGACAGAGGUGAAAUCCCCGGGCUCAACCUGGGAACUGCCUUUGUGACUGCAUAGCUAGUGUACGGUAGAGGGGGAUGGAAUUCCGCGUGUAGCAGUGAAAUGCGUAGAUAUGCGGAGGAACACCGAUGGCGAAGGCAAUCCCCUGGACCUGUACUGACGCUCAUGCACGAAAGCGUGGGGAGCAAACA